RNAcentral lists this ribosomal RNA (427 nucleotides) under Nyctibora acaciana. Its description in RNAcentral is "partial 12S ribosomal RNA". The record is from RNAcentral. Lineage: Eukaryota; Metazoa; Arthropoda; Insecta; Blattodea; Nyctiboridae.
GAUUAGAUACCCUAUUAUUUAUUGUGUAAAUUUAAUAAACUUUAUUAGUAGUAGUUAAGUUCUUGAAAUUUAAAGAAUUUGGCGGUAAUUCAGUCUUUUUAGAGGAAUCUGUCCCGUGAUCGAUAAUCCACGCUGUAACUUACUUGAUUUAUUUAGUAUGUAUACCGUCGUUUAUAAAAUCUUUUUAGGGUAAAUUUUUUUAAUUUUUAAAUAAAAAAUUUUUCAGAUCAAGGUGCAGCUUGUAAAAUAAUUACUUAAUAAUUAAGUGGAGAUGGAUUACAAUAUAUUAUUAGUAGAUGAAUUAUUUAUUGUAAUAUAGGUAUGAAGGUGGAUUUAAAUGUAAUUUUAUGAAGAUUAUUAAAAUGAUUAUAGCUCUGGACUAUGCACACAUCGCCCGUCACUCUCAUUAUUUUAUAUGAGAUAAGUC